GGUAAGGUAGCUUAGUGUUAAGCGUUGGGCUGUAGACCCAUUUAACGGAGGUUUAAUUCCUCUUCUUAUCA
RNAcentral lists this transfer RNA (71 nucleotides) under Chelus fimbriata (Mata Mata). RNAcentral describes it as "tRNA-Tyr". It matches the Rfam family "tRNA". From Rfam's summary of the family: Transfer RNA (tRNA) molecules are approximately 80 nucleotides in length. The record is from RNAcentral. Lineage: Eukaryota; Metazoa; Chordata; Testudines; Chelidae.